Molecule: ribosomal RNA, 756 nt
Filed under: Triticum aestivum (bread wheat)
Lineage: Eukaryota; Viridiplantae; Streptophyta; Magnoliopsida; Poales; Poaceae
Description: partial small subunit ribosomal RNA
Source: RNAcentral
AUGAGCGACAUAUUCAACAUCAAAGAUCUCUCGCCCUACCAUGGUGAUGAGGAUUUCGAUCCGAGGUCGGAUCUUUCCCAAUGGAGGGGAGAUGAUGCGGAGCAUCCCAAGGUCAUCCCCACAGACCUACCAUCGUCUCACCAAGUGCCAAAUGGACCCAUGACUCGAGCACGUGCAAGAGCUCUCGAAACCGAGGUGACAUCUCUCAUCUCACAAUUCCACUUCGAUGAACAUGAGACAUGGCUACUACCUCAAAUGGAGACAUUGUGCAUACUCAGAUAUCAAGGAGUUAGCCAUGGAGACGCUCAGGAGCAAGGAGAAUCCAAAGAGGAAGUUGGACGUGAAGACGGAGAAGAAGAAGGGCAAAGUCAGCAGAAGCCCGGACGAUCCGGACCGUCGCCGAACGAUCCGGCUACCGGCCCAGACGAUCCGGCUACCACGCCCAAAGACAACCGAAGCUUCACCCUGAAGCCGGAUCAUCCAGACCCAGGCCCGGGUCAUCCGGCUACACCCGAACAUCCGGACCAGGCCCUGGACAUCCGGACCCAAGCCCGGAUCAUCCGGCUACACCCGAACAUCCGGACCAGGCCCCGGACAUCCGGACCCUCCGCGGCGGCCACGACACAGCCGGAUCAUCCAGACGCCGACCCGGAUCAUCUAGGCUCCCGAAGGCCGGAUCAUCCGGACAGUGCCUGCGUGCAUGAUGUUGGGCCGAGGCCCAUGUACCCCUUCGCCCCCCAAAUUCUAUAUAUAUGA